UACGUAGGUGACCAGCGUUGUCCGGAUUUACUGGGCGUAAAGAGCGCGCAGGCGGUCGUUCAAGUCGAGUGUGAAAGCCCCCGGCUCAACUGGGGAGGGUCACUCGAUACUGAUCGACUUGAAGGCAGGAGAGGGAAGCGGAAUUCCCGGUGUGGUGGUGGAAUUCGUAGAUAUUAGGAAGAACACCAGUGGCGAAGGCGGCUCACUGGUCCGGUACUGACGCUGAGGUGCGAAAGCGUGGGGAGCAAACAGG
This 253-nucleotide ribosomal RNA is filed under the name uncultured bacterium. RNAcentral describes it as "partial 16S ribosomal RNA". It matches the Rfam family "Bacterial small subunit ribosomal RNA", at positions 524 to 776 of the family's 1533-position model. The record is from RNAcentral.